UUGCGGCUGAGGAUGUGUGAAAUAGCCAGAAGGCACGUCCAAUGGGACAAGUAUUUGCACUCUUGUGAUGUAACUACUACAAGAAUCUCAACAGCAAAACCAUUGAAAUCAAGGCACAUGGUCAAAUCAACAUGAUUUCAGAUCAGCGCAGAUGUUCACAGACCGUGAGGAAAGAUCUCCAGCACAGGGAUGAGGCACAAGGGACAAGUUUGCAAAAGCCUGCACAGGCAGCUCAUACUGCAGGAACCGUGAGAAAUGCUCGUCUCUCAGGG
Long non-coding RNA from Myiozetetes cayanensis, 272 nucleotides. RefSeq lists it as uncharacterized. The record is from RefSeq and is a predicted model, not a curated record. Lineage: Eukaryota; Metazoa; Chordata; Aves; Passeriformes; Tyrannidae. The transcript is spliced from 3 exons.